This 395-nucleotide ribosomal RNA is filed under the name uncultured bacterium. RNAcentral's name for it is "partial 16S ribosomal RNA". It matches the Rfam family "Bacterial small subunit ribosomal RNA", at positions 523 to 918 of the family's 1533-position model. The record is from RNAcentral.
AUACGUAGGGCGCAAGCGUUAAUCGGAAUUACUGGGCGUAAAGCGUGCGCAGGCGGUUUUGUAAGACAGUGGUGAAAUCCCCGGGCUCAACCUGGGAACUGCCGUUGUGACUGCAAGGCUGGAGUGCGGCAGAGGGGGAUGGAAUUCCGCGGGUAGCAGUGAAAUGCGUAGAUAUGCGGAGGAACACCGAUGGCGAAGGCAAUCCCCUGGGCCUGGACUGACGCUCAUGCACGAAAGCGUGGGGAGCAAACAGGAUUAGAUACCCUGGUAGUCCACGCCCUAAACGAUGUCAACUGGUUGUUGGGGAUUUAUUUUCUCAGUAACGAAGCUAACGCGUGAAGUUGACCGCCUGGGGAGUACGGCCUCAAGGUUAAAACUCAAAUGAAGUGACGGGG